CCACUAUUUCACAAGGUGUCACAAACUCACAAACUUUAGGACAGGUUCUAGAGAAAGACUCUUCAUGAAAUGUGUUGUGUGGCUAUGAGAUUACCUGAUCUAUUCUCUUCAGUUUUCCCCUCCAGCUGAAGUCUUUGCUCUGUGAGGGAACUCCUCUCUUGUUGAGGUAGAGCAAAAUGAGUCCUUUCAAUCCAGAAGGGCCUUAGCAUGGGUGAGCAGUGAGCUCUGAUGUUGCAGGUGGCCUUAGAAAGAAACACUUGCUGAUUCUGUAAGUACCAAGGCUGCAGCAUGUCAGAAGCUGUAUAUAAGUAGAGGAAAAAAUCACGGUGUACUUGCCUCGGCAAUUUCCCCUAGGCAUCAUUACUGAAGAUCCUCAGGGGCAGGAUAUGGGGCUGGAAGUGCUUUUGGCCAUGGCUGGUCCAGCCCUUUAUUGUGUUUUUGUUACCUGAUAGGUCUGAGCUUUCCUGCCUGCCUCAUCCUGCGACGUGGGCUUUGGUGGCAGAUCCUCUGCUGCACCUCAAGAUCCAUCCAGAAGGGUUGGAAGCCACCCUGCACCUUCUGUGGUCAUCUUCUGCUCAUUUCUGCAAGAGCAGAUGCAGCUGUACUUGGUCUUCCAUGCUCUUUGCUGACCUUCUAUCAGAAAAACAUUCCCUCUGAGGUGCUCGGGAGCUCAAGUGACUCCACUGAAACUCUGGCAUUUGUCACAGACAAAAUUGGGUCAGGAGAGAGCACAGAGGUACAGAACGGAAAAGAGAGAAAUUCAUCCUUAGGAAAAAAAAAAAAGUCUCAAGCUGCAAACUUGGGCUUAAUUUGUCUCCUCCACGUAAGACGGAUCUAACAACGCAGUCUGGGCUCCGUGCCAAAGGCUGGUAUUUCACAGCAGCGACCGCCUUACAGAUGAGCUGUGGGAAGCAGGAGGGAGACUCUCUUAGGGUGCCACUACUAUGGAGACACAGCUGGGCUGAACAAGAUUUGCUUCAAACGACAACAAGAGAGACAGAAAGUGUCUGGUUCGACCGCUGCCCAAGCAGGCAGUAACCAGAAGAGCUAGCAGCCAAUCCGGCCAUGCUGCACUGUUCGAAACCAGCUCUACAUCCCAGCCAAUCAGUGACAUCACUGGUGAGAAACUCAUUUACAUCAUGCAGUAAUGAACUUUGUUUAACGUAUCCUUUUUUCUUUUCUUUUUUUUUUUUUUUUUCCUCACAGAGAUU
RNAcentral lists this long non-coding RNA (1211 nucleotides) under Calidris pugnax (ruff). Its description in RNAcentral is "lncRNA (ENSCPUG00000012769.1)". Lineage: Eukaryota; Metazoa; Chordata; Aves; Charadriiformes; Scolopacidae. The record is from RNAcentral.